CCUACGGGAGGCAGCAGUGAGGAAUAUUGGUCAAUGGGCGCGAGCCUGAACCAGCCAAGUAGCGUGAAGGAUGACUGCCCUACGGGUUGUAAACUUCUUUUGUCAAGGAAUAAAGUGCAACACGUGUGCCUUUUUGUAUGUACUUUAUGAAUAAGGAUCGGCUAACUCCGUGCCAGCAGCCGCGGUAAUACGGAGGAUCCGAGCGUUAUCCGGAUUUAUUGGGUUUAAAGGGAGCGUAGGUGGGUUGUUAAGUCAGUUGUGAAAGUUUGCGGCUUAACCGUAAAAUUGCAAUUGAUACUGGCAGUCUUGAGUACAGUUGAGGUAGGCGGAAUUCGUGGUGUAGCGGUGAAAUGCUUAGAGAUCACGAAGAACUCCGAUUGCGAAGGCAGCCUACUAAACAGAGACUGACAUUGAUGUGCGAAAGUGUGGGUAUCAAACAGGAUUAGAUACCCCUGUAGUC
Molecule: ribosomal RNA, 460 nt
Filed under: uncultured bacterium
Lineage: Bacteria
Description: partial 16S ribosomal RNA
Rfam family: Bacterial small subunit ribosomal RNA
Source: RNAcentral